Molecule: ribosomal RNA, 482 nt
Filed under: uncultured bacterium
Lineage: Bacteria
Description: partial 16S ribosomal RNA
Rfam family: Bacterial small subunit ribosomal RNA
Source: RNAcentral
AUUGAACGCUGGCGGCAUGCCUUACACAUGCAAGUCGAACGGUAACAGGUCUUCGGAUGCUGACGAGUGGCGCACUGGUGAGUAAUACAUCGGAACGUGCCCGAUCGUGGGGGAUAACGGAGCGAAAGCUUUGCUAAUACCGCAUACGAUCUACGGAUGAAAGCAGGGGACCGCAAGGCCUUGCGCGGACGGAGCGGCCGAUGGCAGAUUAGGUAGUUGGUGGGAUAAAAGCUUACCAAGCCGACGAUCUGUAGCUGGUCUGAGAGGACGACCAGCCACACUGGGACUGAGACACGGCCCAGACUCCUACGGGAGGCAGCAGUGGGGAAUUUUGGACAAUGGGCGAAAGCCUGAUCCAGCCAUGCCGCGUGCAGGAUGAAGGCCUUCGGGUUGUAAACUGCUUUUGUACGGAACGAAAAGACUCUUUCUAAUAAAGAGGGUCCAUGACGGUACCGUAAGAAUAAGCACCGGCUAACUACGUG